UAGAGUUUGAUCAUGGCUCAGAUUGAACGCUGGCGGCAGGCCUAACACAUGCAAGUCGAACGGUAACAGGAAUUAGCUUGCUAAUUCGCUGACGAGCGGCGGACGGGUGAGUAAUGCCUGGGAAUAUGCCUUAGUGUGGGGGAUAACUAUUGGAAACGAUAGCUAAUACCGCAUAAUGUCUUCGGACCAAAGAGGGGGACCUUCGGGCCUCUCGCGCUAAGAUUAGCCCAGGUGAGAUUAGCUUGUUGGUGAGGUAAAAGCUCACCAAGGCGACGAUCUCUAGCUGGUCUGAGAGGAUGAUCAGCCACACUGGAACUGAGACACGGUCCAGACUCCUACGGGAGGCAGCAGUGGGGAAUAUUGCACAAUGGGCGCAAGCCUGAUGCAGCCAUGCCGCGUGUAUGAAGAAGGCCUUCGGGUUGUAAAGUACUUUCAGUGGGGAGGAAGGUGUUGUCGUUAAUAGCGGCAGCAUUUGACGUUACCCACAGAAGAAGCACCGGCUAACUCCGUGCCAGCAGCCGCGGUAAUACGGAGGGUGCGAGCGUUAAUCGGAAUUACUGGGCGUAAAGCGCAUGCAGGUGGUUCAUUAAGUCAGAUGUGAAAGCCCGGGGCUCAACCUCGGAACCGCAUUUGAAACUGGUGAACUAGAGUGCUGUAGAGAGGGGUAGAAUUUCAAUCCCGCG
Molecule: ribosomal RNA, 683 nt
Filed under: uncultured Vibrionaceae bacterium
Lineage: Bacteria; Pseudomonadati; Pseudomonadota; Gammaproteobacteria; Vibrionales; Vibrionaceae
Description: bacterial SSU rRNA
Rfam family: Bacterial small subunit ribosomal RNA
Source: RNAcentral